Triticum dicoccoides is the source of this 2540-nucleotide long non-coding RNA. RefSeq lists it as uncharacterized. The transcript has 2 exons. NCBI's taxonomy places the organism in Eukaryota, Viridiplantae, Streptophyta, Magnoliopsida, Poales, Poaceae. The record is from RefSeq and is a predicted model, not a curated record.
UUGAUCCCACGCAACCUCCUCGUCUCGCUCGCUCUCCCCUUUCUCCGUUGCCCCACGCCGCGACAUCCCCCUCCCGUCAGCGAUGGAGGCCCUGCAACCCAUGGGGACGGUGACGGUGGCCUCACGGGGGUGGCCUCGUCGACAACCUCGACUGGGUGGACGAACCAACGUCGGCUGGUGUGCCCGGCGACGAGUUCCCGUAAUUGUUGGUCAUUGCUACCUAGACCAGAUCGGAGCACGACAAGAUCCGCCACCACUAACCUUGCGUGCAGGGAGCUCCUUUCCUUUCUCAUCCCUUGUAUUUCUCUUCCUUUGCUUAUUCUCCUCUGUUUCUGCCGUGGUGUAGCAGACCAUGGAGGACUACUGGAAGCGCACUUCGUGCAGUCGCCGGCUUGCGCAUGGACAAAGAGGAGGGAUUAAGAGGUUGGAGGCCAUGGAUGUUGGAGCCCACAAUAGAAUGUUCAUCUAUAGCAAGAAUGAAGAUAGUUCCCGCAAAAAAAAAAACAAGAAUGAAGAUAGUUCAUCAGAAAAUCAAGCGAGGACUUUGAGAAAAUGGGAUUCCUUCUCCCUUUCUCCCUCUCUAUCACUACUGAUGAUCACAUGUUUCCCUCGAUUUUUAGUUUAUUUUGGUUAUCCGUGUCAUCGUGUGCUUUCAGUUAUAUUGUUUCCUAAAUGAAAAACAAAAGUUAGUAGGAGCUAUGUCUGAUCAUAUCUGUUUCAUGUGUUUGUUGUUCACACUGCUGGAAUUUUCUAAUGUUGUUUGUCUCAGGUUGUUCAUCUCAGCUUGUGAAUUUUAUAAUGUUGUUUGAUAACAGAUAAGUUUUCCCAGACAACUUCCAUGGGCAGAUUGUCAUUGACUCACUUGGUAUCUGGUACUUACUAGCAUACUUUUACUACUUAAGUGCUAAGAACAUUUUGAAUUAACUGAAGGUAGCUUGCUUCUGUUUUAUGGUACAUUCAUACUAAUUAUAGCUGACAGAAAAUGUGAUUUGUCAGCAUGAAGGUAAAAGAUGGGAAGGUAUAAUGCUCAUGGGCCUCAGUGCUACUAUCAUAUAGAGAUAACUGCUGCAAAGUUCAUAUAAUGGUCCCUGUUUCUUUUAUUGGAAUAUUGACAUUGUUUUCAAAGAUUCAAUUUAGUUGGAUUGAGUUUCUGUUUUAACUUUCUAACAUGUGCAUGCAGAUGAACUAAGAAUUAAAGGUAGUACUUAUUUAAAGUUUCUUUUUCCAUUGAAAUGUGCAGUUUUACACAUUUCUAUGCCCCUUUUCCUAUUUGUGUGCAUCAAACAGUAGAAAUCAAUGUUAAUAUUCUUUAUCUGCGAGCUAACUGAGAGGCAUGUCCUUUUUAUGUCAAGCUGAGAGUUUAAUUGUCACAAUGAAAUCUAGGGAACUAAGGCAGGAGAAUGGGAUUUCACAGGGUAAUUUAAUUAUAGCCUUUGCUUACAGUUUCCUUCUCUACAUUAGGAGUUUCAAUUCUGCAAUUGUUUCUCUCUGUUUUCAUAAAGUUGUGUAUUUUCUAAAUAGUAUAUGAUUGCUGGUUUCAGCAAUAUAUCAUGUGUCUACCACAACCCAGGAUGCAAGGGCUUUAUCUAUGUCUUUUAUUUGUUGUAUCAUAAACAUCAUCUAUGCUUAGUUUGCGCAUAUUAUGUUGGUACUUGAUACUUCAACGGCGUGGUAUAUCUCCCACACCAUCAGCUCUUUCCUAUAAGGAUCCCAAAACAUGGAUUAGUGGUAUGCAGCUGAAGGAGUUACACUUAGAUCAGCUGUUGAAGGAAACCAUAUGUUAUUGUUACACAUUUCACCUGUGUUCAUGAAUAGAAACUAAAAUGUGCAUAGACUGUAGUCUUAUAAUUGUUUUGCUGUCAUCUAGACUGUACCAAAUAUGCAAUUUUGGGAAAGGUCUACAUUCUAUUAAAAAUAGAAAUGGUAUGAUGCAUACUAUUUAAACUUAUAAAUGAAGCAGCAGAUCUGCUUCAUUUUCUUUUUUUUUUUUCCUUCUACAGCUCUACACUUGUAUCCAGAAAUUGAUGAUGUUACAGGAAAUAGCCUCGAAAUUUUUAGACUACCUGCUUCAAUACAGAACUUUGGGUUAACGCUCGGAUAGUUAUUUUAUUUAUGCAGGGAAAAUUACAAUGCAUGUUCGUUUUUUGUUGUUGUUAGGAAUUGUUUUGUUUUAUGAUAUGGAUUUGUGUGUAUUUUAUCUCAUCCGAUAUCAAACUCAUAAUGAUGAACAUCUUAUCUAAACUCGUCGUACUUCUCUUUCUUGCUUCAGGUUGGGAAGCAGUCAAUUGGUGAUCAUCGAACGUGUCGGAACUUCCAAGGAAAUGUCUCUCUGUGGCUAAAAUACAUCGGUUUUCCCCUCAAGUCACUAAACUGCAAUGCGUAGUUGGUCGGUCACUGUCAAUUGAAUCUCGGAAUUGAAAUGUCUUGCCGUUUUACAAUUCUUGUUUUGCUUCACAAUCUUCUCUGUUAAAUAAACCUGUUUGUAUAUAUGAAACAACACCUUUUAGUAUCUAUGAAACUAGUACGCUUGCUCUGCUUUA